This 881-nucleotide ribosomal RNA is filed under the name uncultured bacterium. RNAcentral describes it as "bacterial SSU rRNA". It matches the Rfam family "Bacterial small subunit ribosomal RNA", at positions 8 to 916 of the family's 1533-position model. The record is from RNAcentral.
AGAGUUUGAUCCUGGCUCAGAAUCAACGCUGGCGGCGCGCUUAACACAUGCAAGUCGAACGAGAAAGGGGAGCAAUCCCUGAGUACAGUGGCGCACGGGUGAGUAACACGUGGGUGAUCUACCUCUUCAGUGGGGGAUAUCUCUGGGAAACCGGAGUUAAUACCGCAUAAGUUCGAGAGAAGAAAGCGAGCAAUCGCGCUGAGAGAGGAGCCCGCGGCCGAUUAGCUAGUUGGUGGGGUAAAGGCUCACCAAGGCCGAGAUCGGUAGCCGGCCUGAGAGGGCACACGGCCACACUGGCACUGAAACACGGGCCAGACUCCUACGGGAGGCAGCAGUGGGGAAUCUUGCACAAUGGGGGCAACCCUGAUGCAGCGACGCCGCGUGAGCGAUGAAGCCCUUCGGGGUGUAAAGCUCUUUCGACGGGAACGAUAAUGACGGUACCCGGAGAAGAAGCUGCGGCUAACUACGUGCCAGCAGCCGCGGUAAUACGUAGGCAGCAAGCGUUGUUCGGAGUUACUGGGCGUAAAGAGUGCGUAGGCGGUUCCGUAAGUUUGGUGUGAAAUCUCCCGGCUUAACUGGGAGGGUGCGCCGAAAACUGCGGGGCUGGAGUAGGGGAGAGGUAAGCGGAAUUCCUGGUGUAGCGGUGAAAUGCGUAGAUAUCAGGAGGAACACCGGCGGUGUAGACGGCUUACUGGACCCUGACUGACGCUGAGGCACGAAAGCGUGGGGAGCAAACAGGAUUAGAUACCCUGGUAGUCCACGCCCUAAACGAUGCACACUUGGUGUGAGCGAUUCAUUUCGUUCGUGCCGGAGCUAACGCGUUAAGUGUGCCGCCUGGGGGAGUACGGGUCGCAAGGCUGAAACUCAAAGGGAAUUGACGG